CUGAUCAGAGUUCAGGGCCGGCAUGUUCCAGUAAGGAGAAAGCACAAGGAUGACAAGAUUUCAAAUAUUCCACAACUUUAAUGUGAUGAUGAGCAGGGGAGCUCCCCAGCUGUCUUUAAGCAGAAGAGCAGAGAGAAUUAAAGAUGGAUUGAUAACCACAAUAACUGAAAGCCUCUCUCCCUCGCUACUCUUCAACAUCUAAGAAGACAAUACCUGAUGGAAAAGGAAAUUGGGGAAUCAGCCGAAGAUAUCUACUAAACUUCAUCAUUACUGAGGAUACAAGUUAGCAAUUAAACAAUGCGGUCUCAAAAAUUCUAACAGCUCAAGGAGUCUAAAAACUUUUAGACUGUGUUGCCUUUAUUCUUCCUGCCUGUACCAGAUGUUCUCCCAUUUAAAUUUAUUACCUGUGU
Molecule: long non-coding RNA, 410 nt
Organism: Stegostoma tigrinum
Lineage: Eukaryota; Metazoa; Chordata; Chondrichthyes; Orectolobiformes; Stegostomatidae
Exons: 3
Source: RefSeq, a predicted model, not a curated record